Carcharodon carcharias (great white shark) is the source of this 372-nucleotide non-coding RNA. The record is from the annotation of a RefSeq genome assembly. NCBI's taxonomy places the organism in Eukaryota, Metazoa, Chordata, Chondrichthyes, Lamniformes, Lamnidae.
AUGAGGCUUCCCCUUCUCGCUGUGGCCUGGAUAACAUUCAGUGUAGGCCUGAGCGAUGGAGAUUCUGUUAUUCAGCGGGAAUCUUCGCUGACACAGACAGAGGGAAAAGAUGCCACUUUAAUAUGCACCUAUACCGGCGAUAGCUUUCUCUUAUUCUGGUACCGGCAGUACACAGGCAGACAGCCCGAGUUUGCAGUCCAGAGGUACACUGACGGCGACCUGGAUUAUCAGGCAGAUUUCGCUCGGAACCGGUUUUCUGAUAUAGUCCAUAAAUCAGACAAAUCGUACCGAUUGACCAUCUCGGAGCUGUGGCUGUCUGACACCGCGGUCUAUUACUGUGCACUGAGUCUCACAAUGAUGGAUCCGAGUUGA